CUUUACUGUAGCUUUGCAUUGACUUUGAACCGGUCUGUGUAGGAUAGGUGGGAGGCUGUGAAACCGGGACGCUAGUUUCGGUGGAGCCAACCUUGAAAUACCACCCUGAUUUGUUUGAGGUUCUAACCUUAAUCCGUGAAUCCGGAUCGGGGACCGUGCAUGGUAGGCAGUUUGACUGGGGCGGUCUCCUCCCAAAAGGUAACGGAGGAGUACGAAGGUACGCUUAGGGCGGUCGGACAUCGCCCAUAAAGUGCAAUGGCAAAAGCGUGCUUGACUGCGAGACCCACAAGUCGAGCAGGUGCGAAAGCAGGUCAUAGUGAUCCGGUGGUUCUGUAUGGAAGGGCCAUCGCUCAACGGAUAAAAGGUA
Molecule: ribosomal RNA, 367 nt
Filed under: uncultured organism
Description: bacterial LSU rRNA
Rfam family: Bacterial large subunit ribosomal RNA
Source: RNAcentral